RNAcentral lists this long non-coding RNA (8187 nucleotides) under Carica papaya (papaya). RNAcentral describes it as "long non-coding RNA (CPAP_LNC011739)". The record is from RNAcentral. Lineage: Eukaryota; Viridiplantae; Streptophyta; Magnoliopsida; Brassicales; Caricaceae.
UUUUUAAAUGAAAACACAUUCAUGUAUGAGAUCUGAAUAUACAUAUGGUUGUUGUUCUGUUGGUUUAUCCAAAUAUUCUCUCUUUUUUGUGACUAAAAUGUUAGGUCUGUCCCACUAAAUAUUAUUGAAUUAAAUUUGUGAUUCAAUUCAAUCAAAACAUUAUAAACAUAAAAAAAAUUACAUUUAUCACUUCAUCUCCUAACUUAAGCUGCUGCCUGGAUGUGGUGCACUCUUAAACUAUUCUCUUCUGCCUGUAAAAGUUUAAUACUAACACAUUAAUUAUAAAAAAAAAAAAAAAAAAAACAAAUUUUUCUCAAAACCCAAAACUUGUCUUCUAAAAAGGAAAAAAAUAAAAAAUUCUUAAGUAGUAAUUGAAUAAAAAUAAUGAGAUGAAAUAAAUUACAUAUAAAAUCAGAAAGAUUAUAUAUAUAUAUAUAUAUAUACACACACACGAGCACACAAAUUCAAAAUGAGUCAUAUAUAAUCAUCGUUAUGUUCUAAAAAUGUAAUGAAAUUAUAUUAAAUAUGGAAUGAAUGAGAAUUGGGUAGGAGUACUUGCCAGUAAGGAAGGAAGCCAAGCAAUAGUAUUCUCUACUUCCUCCAUGCACUCUUCCUUCUGUUCUAUCAUGCUUGUCAUCUCCGUAACUAGGUAAAGAAUUUUUUCUACCUGAUCAAAUAUAGCCAUCGCAGAAAAUUACUUCACAUCAAUAUAUAUAUAUAAAUGUUCACACAAACUAACGUAUAUAUAAGGUUUUUUUUCUUUUAAAUAUCUUCAAGAGUAAAACCAAAAUGAUAAUUGAGAAGCAUGCAAUUACUUUUGAGAAGAAUUUAGGAGUGAUGAUGGCUUGUAUGCCGUCCAUGAUUCCCACUGCCAUGCUCAUGGCUUCGUUAAUUGAAUUCACAUCUCCCUAGUAAAUUAAACAUUCAUUCAAAUGGGAUUAGCUCAACGAUAAUAAUUCCUCUAAUUACAAAAUUAAUUAUAAUUAAGUUAUAUAAACUAAUUAAUUUACCUUGGCACCAUUAAGUAGUGGCAAUCUAACCGUGGAAACCAAUAGUUUGCGGCUCAUUCUGCUCAACGCUUCACAAUUUUUCGCAUCAAUUUUCGACCAUUGAUUUAGCAGAGGCAGUUCCAACCUCAGAAUUUCAUAUAUCUUGAUUUCUUGCUUCAGUUUUUCUAGUUGAAUUCGUUUUUCUAAAAUCAACUGUCUCAAUUUCCAAAUUCUUACCCAUACCGCAAAUAAUUUACCCUGGAAGAUUAAUUAUAAGUUUCCGUAUACAAAAAUAAAUCUCUCCAUAUAUUGCAGGAAAUGUAAAAAUAUUACCUGUGCAGUGAUGUUAAUGGUGGACAUCGUAGCUUCAUUUCUAGCAUUGAUAAACCUCCAUUGCAACAAUCUGUUAUGCAAAACCCUAAAACGAUGAUAAUCCUCUUCUUCCACAGCUGAAACUUUCUUUUGCUUAAAAUACUUGAGAACCCCACUUUUCCCACCAGCAGUUUUCGCCGUUUCCCUAUCAGACACCGGCGGCGACUCAAACAAACUCGGUGAAGAUCUUCCCGGCGAUAACGCCCAUGCAGAAGGAGACUUUGUGGGUGAAUAUUUUACCCCUUUUCUUCCGCUAGAAUUUACACGGGAAUUACUGCCACGCCCUGCACUUUUCAAGAAUCUAAUAAAGCCAUUACUGUUUUUACAAUUACUACUGCUCUGAUCUUGAUGGUCUAGGUCAGGCCGUCCGAUCUUUUGGAUUCUCGAAAUGAUGGAGGUUGUUGUGGAAGGGUCGAUAUUCUCUUCGUCUCUUUUGGUAUUUGUUGAUGAUCUUGUGGUUGACUUUGACCUGUUGAUGAACCUUUUGCUAGUAUUGAAGCUGGAGUUGUUUUGAUCUGGUGUAGAAAUGGAGGGAGCUCCGCUUCGACAGCGGAUUAGUCGUGGCGAUGCAGCUGGCGGAUGAUGCUGCCGUGUGUGAGUGGUCUCCAUCUAGGCCGAUCGAUCUGUUUGGUUGGUCAGAUUUUUGGGAUUUGACGACACAGACACACGCACAAUAUAUACAUAUAUGUAUACGAUGCAGACGUAUGAAAAUUAUCUGAAUUUGCUCGAGGUUUGUCAUAGUUUUGGUCAAGGUGGUGAUAAGUUGGGAGCACGUUGAAGAAGAAGAAUUGUGCAUAUCAGUACUGGGGGAGUGGAAGUCAUCCAUGAAUGUUUAUGGGCAUACUUUGAAUCUAGUAAUUUUUAUAAUUAUAAUAAUAUAUGUAUAUAUAGUAAUUUAAAUGUAAGACUACUGCGUAUUAAGGGAUAUAUUAUAAUUUGGUCAACUACAAACUGUACUAAUAAAUCUAUAAAUCAUAAAUAUUAUGUAAAGUGGUAGGCUGAAUUAAUUGAAAGAACGUUUAUCAAUCAAACUACAAUAACACAAUUUUUAGUAAUAUCAUUUCAACUAGAAUCAUCAAUAACUACUAAAAAAAUCAUUUAUCUUUAUAUAUAUAUAUAUAUAUAUAUCGUACCCAUGUCGAGACUUGUAAAAUUUUAUAGAACUAUAUAUAUAUAUAUAUAUAUAUAUAUAUAUAUACACACACACACACACACAUUUGGUGAGGAAGCGAAGAGGGAAGAAUGUCAAUUGGGUUGGGUAUAAAACAAUCUUAAUAUUAUUAUUUUGGGCUUGUUGAGUAGCAAGCAAUAUAAGUAUUUAUGUUAUUCUUGGACCAUGUAAAGUCUACUUACAAAAGAUUAAUACUUGGCUUGUAGAUUGAUCUAAUUACUAAUUACCUAUUUUAAUACCUAAAUGACUCUAAUUAAAACUUAAUCUUUGAACUGAUUAUUAAAUUAAUUUAAUAGAAAUUAUGAACAUUUUCACACACCAGAACUUUUCCUCUCUUCUAUUUCUUACCAAGUUAAUUAAAUUUUAUUUAUAAUAUUUAAUUAUGACUUAUAAGAAAAAUUAAACUUAAUUACAUCAUAACUAUAAUAGAAAGACAAAAAUUAAGAAGCUUAUAAUAAUCACGUUAUAAAUGCCUGGAUAUAACAAACUGCAUGCACGUGUUAGAUAUUUCUUUGAAUUAAUAUACAAAAAUAUAUAUUAGCAUUUCCUUAUAAAUUUUGAUAACAUACAAUAAUGUGAAAAUAAUGUAACCUAUGAUUACCAUAUAUUAAAAUUUUAAUAAUUAUUUAGUAAAAUAUUAAUUUUAUCUUUUUUAAAUCUUACGAACUACUUGAAUCUUUUUAUUAGACCAGAUUAAAUUUUCACAAGUUAUAAUUUUAAAAAUUAAUUGACUAUUAUUUAUUUUUAUUAGUAAUUUAUUAAAAAUUUAAAUUAAAUAAAAUUAUAUUAUAUUAUAUUUAAUAAAAAUAUAAUAAUAUCAUAAUCUUAUAUAUUAUGUCACAUGUUAAUAUAUUUAUUAGUUUAAUUUAUCAAACCUCACGUGGCAGAUAAUUUUUUUCUUUUUUACGUUAAUCCAACGCAUCAAUUUGUUGUGACAAUGCUCUCUCUCUGUUUUUCAUUAUUUUGGCACAUAUAUGAAUAUAUAUAUCCACACACGUAUAAAUAUGCAUAUAGUAUUAUGAUAUAACGAGCACGAGAGAUUACAAAGGUUUGCUCGUCCCAAUUAAAUUGAAUCUUCUUAACCAUUAAUUCUAAAUUAACUUGAGUUAAUCACCUUAAUUUUCAAAAGAAAUAAAUGAAUGGGUUAAAUUCAUAAUUAGCAGCUGUUGAUUCAACCCAAUUAUAUGCUUCUGAUCUCAACAAUUAAACAUGUGACGGAAUUGGAUAUAUAGAGCUGUUAGACGCUCUAUACUUAGAAACACCAUGUGAUAGAUAUUUUUUUAUUUGGAAAGAAACCAUGUGAUAGAUAUUUUUUCCCUUUCAUUUUCAUCCAUCAACUUAUGCCAUAUAUAUAUAUAUAUAUAUAUAUAUAUAUAUAUAUACACACACACACACACGCAUAUACAAAAAUUUAACGUUGAUAAUAAUAAUUAUUUUUUCAAUUACAUAAAAGUUAUUUGGGUAGGUUUUUUAUAAUGCAGACAGAAACAUAGACUAGACUGGUACGUAAUGAAAUUUUAUGUUUGGUCAUAACAUGUGAUGUUUUAAAAUUUGGCAUGUGAUAGAUAUUUUUCGAUUCUGUAUUUUAUUGUUAAUUUGGUACAAUACAUAUAUACAUGUAUAUACACAUAUAUAGAAGACAAUUAGGAUUACUAAAGAGGAAUUAUAAAGUUAUUUUAAUUAAUCAUGUCUGAUCUGUUCUUGUCUCUGCAUUACUAAAAGUGAUUAAUCAUGUCUUUUACUGAUAAUAAUUACUAUUUAAAAUAUUGUUCUUGUCUUAAUUAAUUAGUUAAUUAACGAGUUAUCUUAAACCAUGUCCUAAUUACAUGUUUACUAAUAGAGAUCAAAACCUGACUCAUCUUUAAUAGAGAUUAUGUAAUUAGGAAGAUAAGAUCGUACACAUAUAGUUUUUGUCAUUUUUUUAACCGAUUAAUUCUGAAACUUUUUUUAUUUUAGGUUAAUUAAUAAUUUUUAUAUUUAUACAUAUUAUUUAAUUUUAUCUAUGUAUAGUUAUUUCGAAAACCAAGAUAAAACUAAUCAAAGCCAAGAACUUAAGAUACAUUAUGUUUGAUGCAUAUAUAUAUAUAUAUACACACACACACACAUACAUGCACGUAUCUGUGUACACAUGCACAUCUUUUUCACUUCGCAAACCAUGUGGAAGAUAUUUUCAUCCCCGUCAACGACGCAUAAGCAGGAUAUUAAGAUCAUGGUAUAGGAUGUAAAAUCUUGAAUCUUUUGCUGGUUGAUGCAUACGUAUACACAACACACACACACACACAUAUAUAUAUAUAUAUCAUGUGUGACGAACAACUGUUUUUUACGUUAUCCGUUUACUGAUCUCAUUGCCCUUGCCUAACAUGAUUUCAUCAAUUUACUAAUGGAAAUUCCAUGUGUAUAGCGGCAGCCAAAAGAAACUAAAGAAACUGUUACUAGUUCAACCAUUUUUUAUCCAGUGAAAACAAAUAUAUAUAUAUAUAUAUAUAAACGAAUCACUGGGUCAUAUAUAUAGAGGGCGCCAAAGCGGAGAGGACCUAACUGUUUGAUCGACCAAACUCUUGGUCGGCCGAGAGCACAUAUAUAUAUACACACACACAAGAAUGUUUAUAAGUAUUCAUGUGUGUAAGGCUCGUUCUUCUUCUUCUUCUUUUUUUAUUUUUCGAGUUUAGAUCAUAAUAAUAAUUAUUAUCAUUAAUGGAGAAGGGUAAGCAGACUAUGAUGAGUGGAUAUGGUGGGAGUAGCUCUAAUGGUGACUCCAUUAUUGAUCGUAGUGAAGUCAAAAUUAUUUUGUGGGAGAGUAAUGCUGAAAGUCAAGCAGAAAUUUCUACUCUUUUGACCAAAUAUUCUUAUCAGGGUAAGCAUUAUAUCAUAAGAUAAUUAUACCCAUAUAUAUAAGAUUAAAAAAUGUAACAUAUUAAUGUUAGUUAAUUAAUAAUUUACUGCAGUAACUCCAGUGAGCUCGGCUAUACAGAUAAUAGAUGCUUUGAACACAGAAGGGGCUUACAUCGACAUCGUUUUGAUAGAAGUUGGACUGAUAUUAAUGGAGAGAGGAAUGAAAAUUUUGAAUUAUAUUAUGCAUGAUAAAAAUCUCCAACACAUUGCUGUUAUCAGUAAGCAUUUAUAUAUAAAUAUAUAUAUAUGUUUAUAUAUUUAUAGAUACAUACAUGCAAACCCAUUACAUUGAUAUUAAUUAUAUGUUAAUUAAUAUUGAUUUAGUGACUGUGUAUGUAUGAUAUUGGGGUGUUAGUGCUAUUAACACAGGACAGGCUGCAUCUUCUUCACAAUGGGUUUAAAUUAGGUGCUGCAGAUUAUCUUCUUAAGCCUUUGGAUUCUGAUGAGCUACUCAACUUAUGGAUGCAUGCCAGGAGAAACCAGCGAUACAAUUGGUAUCAUUUUCCUUUUUUUUUUUUUUUUUUCUGUCUUUUAAUAUUAUACAUAAGUUGGCUGGUAUAUAUGUUUAUUUUAGAUGUGUGCAUGUUAUAUGUAUACAUAUAUUUAUAUAUAUAUAGUUCAUUUAAUUAGGAAUAUAUAGAUGAUUAUGGUUUUAAUGGUGGUAUUACAUGCUCUGUUUACAGCUUGGUGGAAUGCCACAAAAAGAAUAACCUGAAGGAUCAGCAGUUUUAUUAGUAGAAUUCUUGGGUGCAUGAUCUCCGUCUUCGUGUAUCUCCACGGCUGGUGGACAUAUAUAUAUAUAUAUAUAUAUAUUUAUGCGAAAUUAAUCAAGGGUAGUUGAUUAAUUGUCAACGUCAACUUUGAUUUGAAGAUGUGAUUAUGGUUGCUUAAUUAGCUGUUUUCAUUAAAUCCAACUAACCCUGGAAUUAAAGAAUAAUUAAUCUACUUCUCUUGGAAAUUCUUUUUCCUUUCUGGGUAUUUUAUUUUUGGCAAAUCAUUUAAUUUUUGAUGAAUUGUUGGAGUGAAAAGAGAUUCAUGGGGGUGGAUAGGUCUGUGAAACAGAGGACGACAGAAAUAGAGGAUGUUGCAUGUGAUAAGCAAGUUAAUGCCCUGUUUGGCUGCUUAUUGGGUUUUCCUCUUAGAUUAGAAUCUUCAAGUAAUUUAUAUUGAUUCAAUUACAAUUUGAUUAAAUGACUAUGGUGGAGCAAUAAAACAAUUCCCCCCCUCCCCCCAGCUCUGCUCUUCAUCAUUUAUACCAAGAAGAGAAGUGAGAUAGACAACAAUGGCGGAAAAUGAAACUUCUUGUUUUCUUUUAUGUCACUUUUGCCCUGCAUAAUUUAUCCAUCGUCGAACAGGACUAAUAGUUUUGACAUAACUACUUACUCUCCAACAUUAUGUUAUGCGCCUUAAAAUCAUUAAUACCUAACUAAUACAAAUAUUUAUAUAUAAUAUCUUGAGAAAUAAAGAAGUUGAUUUGAUAUACAACCGAUGAUAUGGUAUUGGAGUAAAUUGCAGUCGUAACUAGUAAAUGUGAUAAAUGUUCAACACUUCCUCCUCCCCAAAAACAGCAAAUAAACAAAACAAAUUAACAUGUGAUUGACAAAUAGAUAUGAUUAGAAUAUGUGAUAAACUACAAGGAAGUGAAAUUUGCUUUUCUUAGCUUCGUGAUCAAAAAGGGUUACCUAAUCCCCAACACUGGAACCAAUUCCACUUGCCUAUCCCUUUCUAUAUCCCAUUGUGCAACUUUUGUUUGGUGCUCUACCCACCACCAAAAUUAAAAAUCAACUAAUCUUUAAAUCCUACACCACAUUAUCCUUUAUAUCCUGCAAGAUUUCCAAUAAAUUAACCUAAAAAAUAUUCUCACAUAUACAUACAGACAGCAGCACUAAAGUAAUUCUAAUUAGUACCAAGAGCUAAAAACAAUUGCUACGUUUGCGAAGAUUACAUUACAAUCAUAAAUAAUAGUUAUGCACAUUAAGACUAUUACAAAAGUUACGAGUAAAACAAUUUCAUCGAAUCCAACCGGAAUGUAAAACCCAUAUGCCUUUUUCUUUUCAAUUUUUAAGUAGCUAGUAAGAAUGAUUGUAAGGUGAAGAUGCGAUGAUUACACAUAAAGAAACAGUUAUGUAAACUGAGAAAUAGCUUGCUGUUUAUCUUCUGAAGCAAUGAAGUGAUUACAAUUUCAUGUAAAAGACAAAAAGAAAAAAUGAAAAAACACCUCAACACAUUCUAUUUGAUUAAAGGUUCCAUAUAAUAUUACCUUCUCCUUUGAGAACAAUUUUGGAAGUCAAAACAGGGUAUCAGGAAAUUUGUGGACGCACAGCCCAUCAGACCCUCAUGAUUUGAACUACAUACAUGAUCAAAGAACAGAUUACUUCCCCAGAACACAUGACCUGGCAUGAUGCAUCCCUUGCACCAUCACCGAUGUUAACUGCAGGGCAUAAACAAGAGGUCAUUUUGGAGCCUAACCAAAUGACACAAAUGAUAUGAUCUGCUUAUCAUCGAUCAAUGGCUGGAAAAAAAUCUCUCCACUUGUUUGCACAUCUUACCUCGACUUAUUCCUCAAAAUAAUGACUAUUAUAUUUCUUCAGAGGAACGCUGGAGUAUCAUUCUCACUCAUCCAAGUAGAGAACAGAAAGUCCGCAGGACUCUUGAUGUAAUAAACCAUCACUCCACCAUCCCCACCACCCUGCCGAUUUGAUGUAAUAACUGCCUCACAACGAAAAACUUUGCAUCAGGAUCCUGAAACACCAUCUUCAAGAG